GCCACCGUAGCUCAGAUGGUAGAGCAACGCACUCGUAGCGCGUAGGUCCGGGGUUCGAUCCCCCGCGGUGGCUCCA
Molecule: transfer RNA, 76 nt
Filed under: Candidatus Peregrinibacteria bacterium
Lineage: Bacteria; Candidatus Peregrinibacteriota
Description: tRNA-Thr
Rfam family: tRNA
About the family: Transfer RNA (tRNA) molecules are approximately 80 nucleotides in length. Their secondary structure includes four short double-helical elements and three loops (D, anti-codon, and T loops). Further hydrogen bonds mediate the characteristic L-shaped molecular structure. tRNAs have two regions of fundamental functional importance: the anti-codon, which is responsible for specific mRNA codon recognition, and the 3' end, to which the tRNAs corresponding amino acid is attached (by aminoacyl-tRNA synthetases). tRNAs cope with the degeneracy of the genetic code in two manners: having more than one tRNA (with a specific anti-codon) for a particular amino acid; and 'wobble' base-pairing, i.e. permitting non-standard base-pairing at the 3rd anti-codon position.
Source: RNAcentral